GACGAACGCUGGCGGCGUGCUUAACACAUGCAAGUCGAACGGAAAGGCCCUGCUUUUGUGGGGUGCUCGAGUGGCGAACGGGUGAGUAACACGUGAGUAACCUGCCCUUGACUUUGGGAUAACUUCAGGAAACUGGGGCUAAUACCGGAUAGGAGCUCCUGCUGCAUGGUGGGGGUUGGAAAGUUUCGGCGGUUGGGGAUGGACUCGCGGCUUAUCAGCUUGUUGGUGGGGUAGUGGCUUACCAAGGCUUUGACGGGUAGCCGGCCUGAGAGGGUGACCGGCCACAUGGGGACUGAGAUACGGCCCAGACUCCUACGGGAGGCAGCAGGGGGGAAUAUUGCACAAGGGGCGGAAGCCUGAUGCAGCAACGCCGCGUGCGGGAUGACGGCCUUCGGGUUGUAAACCGCUUUCGCCUGUGACGAAGCGUGAGUGACGGGAAUGGGGAAAGAAGCACCGGCUAACUACGU
Molecule: ribosomal RNA, 467 nt
Filed under: uncultured bacterium
Lineage: Bacteria
Description: partial 16S ribosomal RNA
Rfam family: Bacterial small subunit ribosomal RNA
Source: RNAcentral